AUUGAACGCUGGCGGUAGGCCUAACACAUGCAAGUCGAACGGCUGCACAGUACUAGCUUCUUCUUUCAGGGGGCGACUGGCGGAUGAUUCCUGGAUAUCUCCCUGUUUAUUUUUUCUUAGGUGCUCACGUAGGGGAUCUUACCCUAUUCCUCCUUACGACGUACGUGUGAGAUCUUGGGAUCUUCGGCCCUUGCGUGAUCGUAUGUCCCGAUGUCGGAUUAGCUAGUUGGCGGGGUAAAGGCCCACCAAGGCGACGAUCCGUAGCUGGUCUGAGAGGAUGAUCAGCCACACUGGAACUGAGACACGGUCCAGACUCCUACGGGAGGCAGCAGUGGGGAAUAUUGGACAAUGGGCGAAAGCCUGAUCCAGCCAUGCCGCGUGGGUGAAGAAGGUCUUCGGGUUGUAAAGCCCUUUUAGUGGGAAAGAAAAGCAGCAGGUUAAUACCCCGCUGUUCUGACGGUACCAAAAGAAUAAGCACCGGCUAACUUCGUG
RNAcentral lists this ribosomal RNA (492 nucleotides) under uncultured bacterium. RNAcentral describes it as "partial 16S ribosomal RNA". It matches the Rfam family "Bacterial small subunit ribosomal RNA", at positions 30 to 507 of the family's 1533-position model. The record is from RNAcentral.